Molecule: long non-coding RNA, 1984 nt
Organism: Gorilla gorilla gorilla (western lowland gorilla)
Lineage: Eukaryota; Metazoa; Chordata; Mammalia; Primates; Hominidae
Exons: 2
Source: RefSeq, a predicted model, not a curated record
CAAUGUGGCUGGUCCAAGAAUCACACUUUGAGAACCACUGCUUUCGGCCAGUCUCCAUGAGAGAAAGUUCCCAACCUCUGACUGCAAGUUUAUUUUGACCAUUUACCAUAACUUCAACUUCAAUGCUCUUCUUGAAGGGCAUGACUUGUCAUCCUAAUAUAAUUAGCCCCUCUUCCAGCAGAUCAGAUCCACAAUACGCCCCAGCCUCUGGAGGACACAGAGAGAAUGGAAGUCAUGGAGAAGAAAAGAGAAAAGUGUCAGAGGACCAGGAUAUACCCUCAGGACUAGCACUGUGCCUGCCGUAGAACGGGGCCUGCUCAGUGUUUUUUGGGUUGAGCUGCAUCUUAGAAUGAAAUCCUACAACUGAGGUGGCUAAAGGAAUUAAAAAUGGUAUCUGUAAUGUUAAAUUUCAGACUGCUGCACAAUACAUCAGUUUUAGGUACUUUUUAAAAGAUGAACAAGUACAAGACUUCAAAGAAGUCUCUCCCUUGUGAAGGGUCCCUUCCGGCUUCACUUUAGAGUCUCUGCACUUUUAGUUCAUCUCAUUUGGGUGUUUCAAGGGAACAGAGAAGCCCUGGUUUAGAUGAUGUAGGGUUUUCUGAUGCCAAAGUGAGAAUGAUAAAAUGUCUGAAGGAAGAACACGAUGCUAUGCAUUCCAGGCAGAAUCUGGACUUGAAAACAACGAAGCACAAAUGCUUUUAGAUGAACUGAUUCACUUUUAUUUUGUAAACAUCCUAGAAGAAUUCCAUUUGCACUGAACUGUUUGAACCACUGCAGAGCUCUUGGUCCUUCUAAUCCCCAAGGAAAGUCGAUCCAUCGCGUCCUGCUGCACUUUAUUUCUCCACUUUGCCCCUUUUCUCAAUUCUUUGUGAUCAGCAUAAAGUUUGAACCGUGCCUGUUCUCGCCUUCCUGCCUGGCCACCUGUCCAGCCCUGCGGUCAGCUGUACUGACCAGCAGACGGUGGUGCCUCUCUUGCCAAGUGGAGCCGACGCUCUGUGACCAUUGUUCGUGGGGCCACACUGCCAUCCCCAUCGUUGCCCCUUCAAGACACUCGUCAACAGCUGUAAGAGGCUUCCCAUCCUCGCCCGUAUAAAAGGAAGGCCUGAAAACACUUCUCGGAGCAUCAGUUCAUAGGUCACCGCAACCGGCCGAACAAUACGCGAUUAUUCAACGGGCUCCAAUUCAUUUUCCUCUGCUCCUCCCCCACCGUUACCCUUGAGAGAAAACUAAUUUGCAGAAAAAUAGCCUCUGCCAGCCAACUUCUUCUCCUAAAUGUAUGCUGACCCCGAACUCUUGUCUCAGUGGGUCCUUAUUCUCAUAGUCAAUGCACAGGAGUUCUGAAAAGCAGUCUUCUCCUUUAAAAACCUCCCCCACCCCCCAGCAUCUCAGUCCGGGAGAUGGUUUCUUUUUCUGCUAUUCUUUGCUUCUCUUUUUAACAUGUGUGCUGAAAUUGGCACUUUCUCUGUUCAGUUCACUCCCUUUCUAGUAUUAAUGCAGCAACGGAGAAAUGUGCGCAAUUUCUCCAGUCUCUGCGCUAGUUGAGCCCAUGGGUGAUGGAUGAAAUGUAACAUGCUCUUCCUUACAUAUUACUAUUUAAGGGAAGCGCCCGGGCCGGCUGGUGAUGCAUGGUGCUCUCCACAGCGCCCCGCGCAAGCAGGGAGCCCAGGCUGCCUGCACCGUUGUCUGAGUAAAUAAUGGGGCUAAUAGCAUUUGGUGCAAAUGAGACUCCUAUAGAAGGCAUCGGGCUUGUUCAUCUCGUUAUGAUUUUUCUUUGUCGAGAAGCCUUCUCUCUCUGUCCUCAUCAGAGCUUCCCCAGUGUGGCCUGCCUUGGUUAUCUGGGGAGGAGGGAAGGUCUCGGGGAGUUCAAGAUUUUGUAACUAAUAUUGAACGCCAGGGAGAAUGGAUGCCAAGGUCAGGUUAAGAAUAAAGAAAAUUGAUUUGGAGGUCAGGGUCACAAUGUGAAAGGCCUUCAAUGCUGCCAAAA